CUGGAUUUGGGAGAUGCAGUGAGAAUGAGUCAGAGCCCACGACAUGAGGGAGAGAAAGGGGGACCCUGAGGACUUGGGGUCCGGUGUGAGGAUCCUGCACUCGGUUUCUGUGAUGGUGUGUGCAGGGGAGUCACAAGUUCAGCGCUACACCAACCUGAACUUCGCUUCCUGAGACCUAAGAUUCAGCCCCGUGCUCAGCAGACAUCAGGGAUCACCGACUCUGUGCCAGGAGCUGUUCUUGAUGCUGGGAACGCAGGGGUGGACAAAACAGAGAAAGCCCUGCCCUCAGGGCGCAGUGUCCUGCUGAGUGUGCAGGUGCCUGUCCCUGCCCUCUGCAAUGUCAUCUCCAUGCAGCAGCAGCGUUUACCCACGGAUGGAUCCCCACCCCUGGACCAUGCCUGGGUACAGGUUUUGUUCCGGUUGGUCUGCUAUUGAGUAUGGAGGCCAGGGUUCCACUCCAGACCCCUCUGACUCCCCUCACCAGGCUGUUCCCAGAGACUUGUGAGGGAAGUUGACAAUAAA
RNAcentral lists this long non-coding RNA (522 nucleotides) under Homo sapiens (human). Its description in RNAcentral is "HSALNT0404364". Lineage: Eukaryota; Metazoa; Chordata; Mammalia; Primates; Hominidae. The record is from RNAcentral.